This is a long non-coding RNA of Sorghum bicolor (sorghum), 780 nucleotides long. RefSeq lists it as uncharacterized. NCBI's taxonomy places the organism in Eukaryota, Viridiplantae, Streptophyta, Magnoliopsida, Poales, Poaceae. The transcript has 3 exons. The record is from RefSeq and is a predicted model, not a curated record.
UGAUGGUAAGCUUCUGAUUUGUUUUUGGUUGUGUACAUAUAUUUGUUACAAAUUUGUUUAAGAAGCCACCUAGUAUUUAUGUUUUAUGUUGAACAGCAUAAGUGGGACAUUGAGGAUAAUGAGGAAAAUAGAAAAAAGAUAUGGACCAUCGCAAGUGAGCGUUACAAAGGAUGGCGGUCCACAUUUAGUGCUACGUACAGGGCGUACACCACCUAUGAUGUGAGAAUGAGACACAAGCCUGAAGAGUUGGACAUUGUUGAAUGGCACUAUCUGGUGUUGUAUUUUGGCAAUGAAAAAUUUCAGGAUAAUGCAAGCAGCAAAAGAAGGAAUCAAAUGGAGAUGCAAACAUCAUCUCAGAUGUGGAGCAAAACCAGAUUUUCCAGUCAGCUUAUAAGGAAACAAGAAAAUGCAAAUCAGCCAAGAUCCUUUCUAAUGGAUAGUUGGCAAGGUACCCAACUAGAAGGCAGCUACUCUCAGAGGAAUACCAGUACCACGUCCGUCAAGAUGCCGCACUCAUGGACACAUUUUCAAAGCUACAAGAAAGAAUUGAACCUCAAGAGGCUGAAAGGGAGAUCGAAAGGGAAGAACAUAGGCAUCAGAUGGAAGAAAUAUUGAAGUCAAGAGAGGCCGAUAGAGAAGCACUUAGGCAAGAGUUUAUGUCAAUGAUGCAAGCAGCACAAGGACAAGCAUCCUUACAACAGGCUAAUAAAGAUGGGAAACAAAUUGCAGAGGUUGCUGCUGCAACAAACAUGGUGGAAGGAAACGUAACUACAGAAAGUG